Corticium candelabrum is the source of this 810-nucleotide long non-coding RNA. RefSeq lists it as uncharacterized. The record is from RefSeq and is a predicted model, not a curated record. The transcript has 8 exons. NCBI's taxonomy places the organism in Eukaryota, Metazoa, Porifera, Homoscleromorpha, Homosclerophorida, Plakinidae.
CGCAAUCGCAGUGUGUCUCUGAGAUGUCUAGCCAUGAGAAAGCAGAGACUGCUUCUCUGCCCUGUAAACUUAGCUAACAGCUACGUCGCUGCAGAGGAUUUCUCUCUGUAUAGCAGCUAGGUCGCCAGUUGCUGCAGAGGAAUUAUCUUUGCUCAAAAAGAAGAUGAAACGUCCCGAGAUAACUACUUCUUGAUAUUCAAUCAUAGUAGAUGCAUGAUCUUUCUAAUGAUAUGAAGAAGUUAGACGCACGCAUUUGUGAAAGCUAGUGAGAUGAACACAGAAGCUGUUGAAUAAUUUUCGUUCUAAAGAGAAUAUUGAAGUUGGAGUUGAACUGAUUAAUUAAACGAAUGAUCCAGAUCUAUGCUUGGAAAUAAUGAGCCUUCUAACAAAGGAAAUGAAUAUCCAAUAUUUAGAUUAGUGAUGAGAGCAUUGAUGAUGAUGAUGAUGAAAGGCAACUAUAUAGAGGUCGUGUGCUCUUGAGUCUUUACUAAACCAUUGUGACAAACUGGAAUUUUUACCCCACUCGACAUCGGAUCUUGCAAACUUGUGCAUGAGUCAGGCCAUUCUGAAAUUCAAGCACAUUUAAAAGAAGUUAUGGAUAAAUUUGCAAGUCUUGGUAAGAGAAUGCCAGAGCCUCUAGAACAGUAAGUAGAAACAAGAGAUGGUACAACAGAUGCGAAUGAAAUUAAGCAAGAAAUGGGUAAUGAUGAAGAAGAAAUACAGACAGUGAGCAAGUUUCUCUGAAGCCAACUGAAGAUAGGUAGUUUUGUCAAUAAAUUAUUUAGUAAUUAAAAAAUAAGAGAUUAAUAU